RNAcentral lists this ribosomal RNA (592 nucleotides) under Klebsiella pneumoniae. RNAcentral describes it as "bacterial LSU rRNA". It matches the Rfam family "Bacterial large subunit ribosomal RNA", at positions 2351 to 2925 of the family's 2925-position model. The record is from RNAcentral. Lineage: Bacteria; Pseudomonadati; Pseudomonadota; Gammaproteobacteria; Enterobacterales; Enterobacteriaceae.
GCAAUGGCAUAAGCUAGCUUGACUGCGAGCGUGACGGCGCGAGCAGGUGCGAAAGCAGGUCAUAGUGAUCCGGUGGUUCUGAAUGGAAGGGCCAUCGCUCAACGGAUAAAAGGUACUCCGGGGAUAACAGGCUGAUACCGCCCAAGAGUUCAUAUCGACGGCGGUGUUUGGCACCUCGAUGUCGGCUCAUCACAUCCUGGGGCUGAAGUAGGUCCCAAGGGUAUGGCUGUUCGCCAUUUAAAGUGGUACGCGAGCUGGGUUUAGAACGUCGUGAGACAGUUCGGUCCCUAUCUGCCGUGGGCGCUGGAGAAUUGAGGGGGGCUGCUCCUAGUACGAGAGGACCGGAGUGGACGCAUCACUGGUGUUCGGGUUGUCAUGCCAAUGGCACUGCCCGGUAGCUAAAUGCGGAAGAGAUAAGUGCUGAAAGCAUCUAAGCACGAAACUUGCCCCGAGAUGAGUUCUCCCUGAGACUAUAAGUCUCCUGAAGGAACGUUGAAGACGACGACGUUGAUAGGCCGGGUGUGUAAGCGCAGCGAUGCGUUGAGCUAACCGGUACUAAUGAACCGUGAGGCUUAACCUUACAACGCCGAAG